RNAcentral lists this ribosomal RNA (426 nucleotides) under uncultured bacterium. Its description in RNAcentral is "bacterial SSU rRNA". It matches the Rfam family "Bacterial small subunit ribosomal RNA", at positions 354 to 796 of the family's 1533-position model. The record is from RNAcentral.
GUGAGGAAUUUUCCGCAAUGGGCGAAAGCCUGACGGAGCAAUGCCGCGUGAAGGAUGAAGGCCCAUGGGUUGUAAACUUCUUCUCUCAGAAAAGAAUUAUGACGGUAUCUGAGGAAUAAGCAUCGGCUAACUCUGUGCCAGCAGCCGCGGUAAGACAGAGGAUGCAACCGUUAUCCGGAAUGAUUGGGCGUAAAGCGUCUGUAGGUUGUUUAAAAAGUAUUCUGUCAAAGAUUAGGGCUUAACCCUAGAUAGGCAGAAUAAACUUUUAAGAUAGAGUUUGGUAGAGGCAGAGGGAAGUCCCGGUGGAGCGGUGAAAUGCGUAGAUAUAGGAAGGAACACCAGUGGCGAAGGCGACUACCUGGACUGAUACUGCCACUGAGGUGCGAAAGCGUGGGGAGGAAACAGAAUUAGAUACCCUGGUAGUCC